CUAGACCCCCCAACCCCGCCCGCUUAUUUAGAGCUACAGGGAGACCGCUGCUGCUCUCCCCCCUCACCGUGGUCUCGAUCUGUCGUGUCUGGGCGCUGGCGUCUUCCCGAACCAAACAGAUCCCCUAGGAAAGAAUCAUCAACUCCGCACUACACAGCCUCCCGGUGUAAGCGGCCGCAGCACGCAUGAGCCAGCCACCGCUCUCGCGCCCGCGCGGGGG
RNAcentral lists this non-coding RNA (220 nucleotides) under Lotharella oceanica. Lineage: Eukaryota; Cercozoa; Chlorarachniophyceae. The record is from RNAcentral.